UACGUAGGCGGUCCAAUAAGUCAGUGGUGAAAUCCUGCAGCUUAACUGUAGAACUGCCAUUGAUACUGCUGGACUUGAAUAUAGAUGAGGUAGGCGGAAUGUGUCGUGUAGCGGUGAAAUGCUUAGAUAUAACACAGAACACCAAUUGCGAAGGCAGCUUACUAGACUAUUAUUGACGCUGAGGUACGAAAGCGUGGGGAGCGAACAGGAUUAGAUACCCUGGUAGUCC
RNAcentral lists this ribosomal RNA (229 nucleotides) under uncultured bacterium. RNAcentral's name for it is "partial 16S ribosomal RNA". It matches the Rfam family "Bacterial small subunit ribosomal RNA", at positions 568 to 796 of the family's 1533-position model. The record is from RNAcentral.